Dreissena polymorpha is the source of this 2154-nucleotide long non-coding RNA. RefSeq lists it as uncharacterized. The record is from RefSeq and is a predicted model, not a curated record. Lineage: Eukaryota; Metazoa; Mollusca; Bivalvia; Myida; Dreissenidae. The transcript has 3 exons.
GCGUUAAAAAGGACAGGCUCUACGAUUGGUAUAUCAAAUGUCAUAUGGCCAAUCAGAAACAUUUUAACAUAAUAAUUCAUAGAAGGUCGGCUGCAGUGAAAUUAAGAAAACAACGGUUGACAACGAUUUAUUAAUUAAUGAUGAGACGAUGUCCUCAGCCUCAUAGUUAGAGAUGUCCAUGGAUAGACGUCCAUUGACCGCCAGGAGGGGUAAGGAGCGUAAGGAGGGCGAGAGCUUUCUGAGAGGCACCAAGCUCUGGAACUGGAAAUACCGGAUAGUGGCGGGCUGCAUGACAUUCACCGCAUCCGUCUUUGCUAUUGGCAUAUAUUUUGCUGCAACAGAACAGUGGAAGUUCAGUAUUCUUGACGACUUUACAUUUGGGCACUACCCUGAUCCUGAAAGAGUUGCAGAACUUGAAGAGAGAAAGAGAAUUUUAAAGGAAAAACAUAUGAAAGGAAACCAAUGAACACCUGUUUAAAAAUUGUGUUACAGAGAUUUAUGAAAUUCUGUCUUAUAGUACAUGUUAGUAUAUUCACUGCCAGUUUUUGUGACUUCUGAGAUAUAAAAUGUUUACUCAUGAGAGUGUUUUCAUGCCACCUAUUUGAAGAAGGUGGCAUAUAGCUGUCGCACUUUCCAUCUGUCAGUGUCUGGAUGUCCCUCCAAACAUAUCUGUCUCCACCUUACCUUCGCCAUAUAUUGAUGAAUGUGAAAUAAUUUGGCACAAAUGUAAACCAUCAUAAUAUGAUGUGUCACAUGUAACAUCUGUCUCCCUAUCUCAAAGGUGAAGGCCACAUUUACCGGUAGAUGUCAACAGUCAAAUUUGGCAAUAAAAGAGCUUGAAAAUUCCUGUCUAUUCAAUAACUUAGCUAUUUAUGCAUGGAUUUUAAAAUUACUUGGCACACAUGUUAAGCAUUAUAGUAGGACAUGUCGUGUAAACAACCUCCUCCCUACCUCAAAGGUCAAAAUGACAAUCAAAGGUCAAGAAUAAAAUUUAGACAUGAAACUGCUUGAAAAUUGUGGUCUCAGUCUUAACUUGGCUGUAUAUUUAUGGAUUUGAAAUAACUGAGCAUAAAUGCAAACAAACAUACAUGUAGCGUGUAGCACUUGUCUCCCUUCCUCAAAGUUCAUUGUCAUACUCUAAGGUCAAAAGUAAAAUUUUGCCAUAAGACUGCUGUAAAAGUCCUGUCUCAGCCAUAACUUGUCUAUCUAUUGAUGGAUUUUAAAAUAACUCAGCACAAAUCUAAACAAACAUAUGAUGAUGUGUUGCUUGUAACUCUCGUCUUCCUGUUUCAAAGGUCAAGUGCACUGGUAGAUGUCAAAGUUCAAAAUUAUCAGCUUGUACAGUCUUCAACUUUGUAAUUUAUUAUGCAAUGUUAAAAUAACUUACCACAACUGACCACCAUCAGGAGACUGCAAGUAACCUAUUUCAACCUAUUUCCCCACCACAAAGUCACACUUACAGGUGAGAGUAAAUUUUUGCAAUUAAACAACUUGUUUGUUACAUUAGUUUAGUUUUUAAACAAAAAAUGGAUUGGGGGCAUAUGUGCCCUAUGGGCACAUGUCUUAUUAUAUACAAUUAUUAUCAAAAUAUUAUGAAAUUGAAUGAUGCAACUUGGUGAUGUGCAGGAUGCUUGUAAAAAUAUAUUUGGAUGCAUCGUUGUUUGAUAUUUGAAAUUUAGUUCUUAAUAAUUUAUGGUACUGUGUCGACAUUGUAUUGGUAUUGAGAUUACUUAUGUCAGUAAAGAAGCAGAAAAUGCAGUGUAAAUGUGAAUAUGUUUUCAGUAAACAUGUUUGGUCGACGAAUUGUUUUGCAUUUAUAACUAAGUAUUUAUUUCAAGUCCUAUGCAAAUAUUGUGACUAUCUGUUGACAUUGAGAAUGUUUUAGUUUUGUAUUAGGAUCAUGUUAAUGAUUUGUAAAAGUUUUUUAAGUGCUUUUAAUAAAAUAAAAAUUGAAAUAGCAAAGUUUUUUAUGUUGAGUGUUAAUAGCAAACCUGUCUUACUACAUAGUAUUUAGCUACUCCAGAAAUGGUUCACUGGACAAAACACUUCAGGUUGUAAGUAGUCUUCAAGGUGGCAAAUCAAACCUCUGUUUGUAUAUUAUUAUUACUGUAGCAUCAAUUAUUAUAAUAUUACUAUAAACUCAUUAGUGUUUGA